UGAGACCAUCCUGGCCAACAUGGUGAAAUAUAAAAUUUUUAGUCUGUACCAAAUUUAGUUAAAUUUAGUUAAUUUAGUGAAAUACUAAAUUUUUAGUCUGUACUAAAAAUACAAAAAUUAGCGGGGCAUUGUGGUGCACACCUGUAAUCCUAGCUACUCGGGAAGGUGAUGCAUGAGAAUCACUUGAACCCAGGAGGCGGAGGUUACAGCGAGCCAAGAUUGAACCAUUGCACUCCACCCUGGGCGACAGAGUGAGACUUCAUCUAGGGAAAAAAAAAUGCUCUGUACAGAGAAGCUAGAGACUUCUUGUCUCUGAGCCUCAGUUUUCCCAUCCAUAAAAUGAGGAUUAUAACAUUUGCCAGAUAGGGUUGUUGCGGGGAAUUAAAAUAAAUGGAAUAUACAAGCAGUUUAGCAUCAUUGUCCUCAUUAUGACUUAAGGAGUGAGCAUGUUGCUCUGUGCGGGCCUUUUUUAUCUGCAUGACCUCAUUCAGUCCUCACUAUGGUCCUACUAGACAGAUGGCAGAGCUGGAACCCAGAGAGGUAGAGUGAUUUUCCCAGGGUUGUUCAGCUUUACAGUGGCAGAGCCUGACCUGAAACCCAGGGAGUGUGACCCCAGCUUUCAGGCUCUGGGUCUCUUCCACUACUUCUUCUUUAAAUAAUAAUAAUAAUUGUUAUUAUUAUUUUAGAGACAGGGUCUCCUGCUCUCAAGUGAUCCUCCCGCCUAAGUGCUGGGAUUACAGACACGACCACCGCACCCGGCUCUCCCGGGGCUUCUGAUCCAAAGCAGGUUGUUAUCCAUGCUCAGUGUAAGGUUGAAAUCUAUAGUGGGAAUACAAAGACAGGAAGAGUCAUUCUAAGAAGGGUUCUUGGAUGGGGGCAAGAUUUGAGCUAAAAUUUUCCAAGGAAAAGCAGGAUAUUAGGAGGAGGAAAGUGGGACAGAGGGGAGGCCUUGCUAGGCAGCAGCUACAGUUGGAACAAAGUCGGGGCAGUGGAGACACAGGAGGCAUACUGAAGAGUCGCAGGAAGAUUCAGCCUACCGCUGAAGCCUCCAUGGCAGAGAAGUGAGCAGGGGCUUCCCAAUUGGAGCUAUUUCUUUACAAAAAGGAGCUGUCAUUUUUCUUUUCUUUCUUUUUUUUUUUUUUUUUUUUUUUUGGCUGGGGGGACGGAGGCUUACUCUGUCACCCAGGCAGGAGUGCAAUGGCGUGGUCUCAGCUCACUGCAAGCUCCACCUCCUGGGUUCAGGCGAUUCUCCCGCCUCAGCCUCCCAAGUAGCUGGGACUACAGGCACAUGCCACCAUGACCGGCUAAUUUUUGUAUUUUUAGUAGAGAUGGGUUUCACUAUGUUGACCAGGCUGGUCUUGAACUCCUGACCUCGUUAUCCUCCUGCCUUGGCCUCCCAAAAUGCUGGGGUUACAGGAGUGAGCCACUGUGCCCGGCCGUGGAGCUGUCAUUUUUCUUCCAGGUCCCUUCACAAAUCCAUCAGACUGAAGUGCCAUGUGGGCAAGGACUGGCUGGGUAUCCUCUGCUGUUGCAGCCCCAGUGCUUAGCACAGUGUCUGGACCAUGGUAGGCACUAGACAUUUGCUGAAUGAAUGGAAAUGGGAGGGUAUGUAUUCUCGUCCAUUUCUUAUUUUUGACAGACUUACUCCUCUGUGACCCUACAACCUUGUCUCUCCCUGCAAAGAAAUCAGACUGAAAGUGGAGUGGGGGUGGGAAUUAGGGGAGGGAUAUGAUGGAAACCAGCCCCACUGACAAGCAUUUAUCUCAAGAUACUGAAGCCACAGCCAAAUCCCUUUCCCAGCACCUGUUCACUAGGGUGCAUUGGGAGCCAAUUCUCCAGUGGUUUUUCAAGUCUUACAAGCAGAGCCACUGACUGCCUUUUGUUCUGGACUACCUUUCCAUGCAAAUAGCCUUGGAAGGCAGAGCCUGUGGCUCUCUGAAUUAAAGGGCAAGCAUGCUUACUGCCCUUAUAAAAGAUUAUAAAAGAUUUAGGUUCUUCAAAUCAGUGUCAGUCUCUUGUAAUGCAACACACUGUGGGUGAACUCAUACAGCUGAACUCAUCUGUGUCACCCAUGUCGAGUUGCCAGUUAAAAUACAAGACUUCCCCUUCAAUUUGAAUUUCAGAUAAAUAAAGAAUACUUUUUUUAGGAAUACUUUUUUAGUAUAUGCACAUCCCAUGCAAUAUUUGGGACAUGCUAAAAAUGUAUUCAUUGUUAAUCUAAAAUUCAAAUCCAACUGGGUGCUCUAUAUUUUUGUUUUCUAAAUCUGGCAGCCCUACUCCCGUGGGACUUGGGGGUAAGAGGAACUAAUGCAAAUAUGUUGAUACUUAUGCUGCUUCUCAUGCUGUGAGGAAUAAAAUCUUUUGUCUCUGACCCAGGAAUCUUGUGUGUUCUGUUAGCACUCAAGUUAGCUACCAUGUAGGGUAAAAUCUUAUGCUCUCCACAGUUCUUAGUAGAUAUCCCCAACCUAAGCUUGG
Molecule: long non-coding RNA, 2475 nt
Filed under: Homo sapiens (human)
Lineage: Eukaryota; Metazoa; Chordata; Mammalia; Primates; Hominidae
Description: HSALNT0154961
Source: RNAcentral